GCUUUGGUAGCUCAGUCGGUAGAGCAAGGGACUGAAAAUCCCUGUGUCGGUGGUUCAAUUCCGCCCCAAAGCACCA
RNAcentral lists this transfer RNA (76 nucleotides) under Christensenellaceae bacterium. Its description in RNAcentral is "tRNA-Phe". It matches the Rfam family "tRNA". From Rfam's summary of the family: Transfer RNA (tRNA) molecules are approximately 80 nucleotides in length. Their secondary structure includes four short double-helical elements and three loops (D, anti-codon, and T loops). The record is from RNAcentral. Lineage: Bacteria; Bacillati; Bacillota; Clostridia; Christensenellales; Christensenellaceae.